GAUGAACGCUGGCGGCGUGCCUAAUACAUGCAAGUCGAGCGAACAGAUGAGGAGCUUGCUCCUUUGACGUUAGCGGCGGACGGGUGAGUAACACGUGGGUAACCUACCUAUAAGACUGGGAUAACUCCGGGAAACCGGGGCUAAUGCCGGAUAACAUUUAGAACCGCAUGGUUCUAAAGUGAAAGAUGGUUUUGCUAUCACUUAUAGAUGGACCCGCGCCGUAUUAGCUAGUUGGUAAGGUAACGGCUUACCAAGGCAACGAUACGUAGCCGACCUGAGAGGGUGAUCGGCCACACUGGAACUGAGACACGGUCCAGACUCCUACGGGAGGCAGCAGUAGGGAAUCUUCCGCAAUGGGCGAAAGCCUGACGGAGCAACGCCGUGUGAGUGAUGAAGGUCUUCGGAUCGUAAAACUCUGUUAUUAGGGAAGAACAAAUGUGUAAGUAACUGUGCACGUCUUGACGGUACCUAAUCAGAAAGCCACGGCUAACUACGUG
RNAcentral lists this ribosomal RNA (497 nucleotides) under uncultured bacterium. RNAcentral describes it as "partial 16S ribosomal RNA". It matches the Rfam family "Bacterial small subunit ribosomal RNA", at positions 28 to 507 of the family's 1533-position model. The record is from RNAcentral.